AACAAACGCUGGCGGCGUGCCUAAUACAUGCAAGUCGAACGGGGAAAGUAGCAAUAUGAGUACUAGUGGCGCACGGGUGAGUAACGCGUGGAUAAUCUGCCUUGAAGAGGGGGAUAACUAGUCGAAAGAUUAGCUAAUACCGCAUAAGACCACAGGAACUGAGGUUCAAGGGGUCAAAGGUUUUUCGCUUCAAGAUGAGUCCGCGUAAGAUUAGCUAGUUGGUGAGGUAAUGGCUCACCAAGGCAACGAUCUUUAACUGGUCUGAGAGGAUGAUCAGUCACACUGGAACUGAGACACGGUCCAGACUCCUACGGGAGGCAGCAGUAGGGAAUAUUGCACAAUGGAGGAAACUCUGAUGCAGCGACGCCGCGUGAGUGAUGAAGGCCUUCGGGUCGUAAAGCUCUGUCGCAGGGGAAUAACACAAUGAAUGUACCCUGUAAGAAAGGAUCGGCUAACUUCGUG
RNAcentral lists this ribosomal RNA (462 nucleotides) under uncultured bacterium. Its description in RNAcentral is "partial 16S ribosomal RNA". It matches the Rfam family "Bacterial small subunit ribosomal RNA", at positions 29 to 507 of the family's 1533-position model. The record is from RNAcentral.